This 1952-nucleotide long non-coding RNA is filed under the name Felis catus (domestic cat). RNAcentral describes it as "lncRNA (ENSFCAG00000051282.1)". Lineage: Eukaryota; Metazoa; Chordata; Mammalia; Carnivora; Felidae. The record is from RNAcentral.
GACACCAGUCGGCGUCUCCGCGUCCUGUCCCUCGCCGCCGCGGCCAACGCUCCCCGGGCUGCUCCCCGACUUGGUCGCCAGAGAGGCCCAGAGCGACGGAGAUCCGGGGGCUGCGCCCUAGGGAGGAGCAGGCAGGGCAGAGUGCUCCUUGCGGCCGCGGCCUGGGCCCGCUACACGUCCCACCGCCCCUCAGUGUCGCCCACGGCCCCGCCAGGCCCCUUCUCCCCCAGGCGAACGGGAUCCGGCAGCCGCUCUUCGCAGUGGCCGGAGCCCCAGGACGCGGCUGCUCCCGCGCAACCCCGGCCGCACUCCGCGAGAGGGCCGGAGUGGGCGGCACCGCCCUGCCCGUCUCCUGGCCUCGCGGGGCCCGCAACUGCCGUUCCAGGAGAAGCGAGUCCCAGGACCGAGCCCGCCACCCAGCACUGGGGUCUCCAAGGCUUCCGAUCGCCCCCCCGGGACCCGGCCAGGCACUCACCUCCCGCGCGCGGCGCUAACCCUGCUCCGACACGGGCGGGCGGGCGGCCGAUGCUGCCGCCCCGCGCGCACACGCAGCCUCCCGCAGCCGCACGCACGGCCGGGCGCGCGCAGACCACGCGCCGAGGCCCGGGAGUCCGUUGCUCGCUCGCUCGCUCGCUCGCUCGCACGCACGCGCGGGCCCUGAGCCCCAGCGAGCUGGGCCCCACCCGGCCUGCUGCUCUACGCACUCCCUGGGUGUGGGCUCUGUCGCACCUAGCCAUCACGCUGCGUUCCGAGCACGCCGCUGUUAGGUAGCUUUCUGUCAGCCCCAGAGGACUGCCAGCUUACAGGCCAGUGGUCAGGAUGGAUUCCACUGCAUGGUCCCAGCCUGAUGCAAUGAGGUGGCUUGGCUGGUGUCUCAGUAGGGGACAAGGAGCAGCGCAAUUAAUGAUGAUAGCCUUGGUGUGAGGAAAAGAGGUGCUGCGCAGCCACCUGCAAGAGACAGACAAAUCUUAAAUCCCGGAUUAAAAUGAUGACAAGGUAAGAGACCUCCUGAGACACAGAUUAGAGAGCUCCAUAAAAUAAGCAGGCCCCUGUUUUCUGGAAGACAGUAAAAACAGACAAAUUGUCUUGGGGGAUGCUGGGGAAAGAUUAUGAUAUAGAGAAAGAAAGGCUUACAAAGCUGAAAGGCAUCUUGUACAAAUGUUGUCUCCUAGGAUGAUCAAUCUGUGGCCAUCAGCCCAACACUCAGUCAUGUAAUAUGUGAACACUUAAAUGCACAACAGUACAGGCACCAAAGGGCCUACAGAGCCAGGGGUGCACACAGAGCUAGUAUUUUUGAGGACCUAUUGUUUUCAAGGUACAUUGCUGGAGGCUUUGCAAAUACUGUUUAAUUUAAUUUAAUUUAACUUAAUUUUUAGUUCUAGACUUGUGUUUAGUUCUAGACUUCUCUGUCCAAUUUCCUUGCUUACUUUGUGCCAUACUCUAGAAUUCAUUACUUUUCCCUAUACACACAAGAGUUAGAGGGAACUACUUCCCUCUGGAAGUCAAUAGUUGAGAUGAGGAACUUGCCUUGUCCCCACAUGCUCUGAAUUUCCCUUAGCCCAGGCUUCUGACUCAUACUUCAUACCCUCAGUGCCUCUUACUCCUGUCAGCUCUGGGCUCUGAGGCUCUCAGUGAGCUCUUCCUGUUUCUCCUCAAGCAGCUGCUUCCUUCAACCAGAGCACGCAAUCUAUUUCCCAAAGCUUCACCUUUUAAACCUCCCCUUAAUGAGCUCUAUCAAAAAGACAUUAGUUUUGGGGCGCCUGGGUGGCUCAGUCGGUUAAGCGUCCAACUUCGGCUCAGGUCACGAUCUCGCGGUCCGUGAGUUCAAGCCCCGCUGACUGCUCAGAGCCUGGAGCCUGUUUCAGAUUCUGUGUCUCCCUCUCUCUCUGACCCUCCCCCGUUCAUGCUGUCUCUUUCUGUCUCAAAAAUAAAUAAACGUUAAAAAAAAGACA